Molecule: long non-coding RNA, 153 nt
Organism: Octopus sinensis (East Asian common octopus)
Lineage: Eukaryota; Metazoa; Mollusca; Cephalopoda; Octopoda; Octopodidae
Exons: 3
Source: RefSeq, a predicted model, not a curated record
UUUUGUCUGCUGAGUGGACUGGAGCAACGUGAAAUGAAGUGUUUUUGCUCAAGGACGCAAUACAUCGCUCGGUCCUGGAAUCAAAACCACAAUAUUACGAUCAUAAGUCGAACGCCGUAACCGCUAAGCCAUGCACCUACAAAAAUUCAUAUA